Molecule: ribosomal RNA, 438 nt
Filed under: uncultured bacterium
Lineage: Bacteria
Description: bacterial SSU rRNA
Rfam family: Bacterial small subunit ribosomal RNA
Source: RNAcentral
UACGGAAGGCAGCAGUGGGGAAUAUUGCACAAUGGGCGCAAGCCUGAUGCAGCCAUGCCGCGUGUAUGAAGAAGGCCUUCGGGUUGUAAAGUACUUUCAGUCGUGAGGAAGGUGUUAAGGUUAAUAACCUUAGCAAUUGACGUUAGCGACAGAAGAAGCACCGGCUAACUCCGUGCCAGCAGCCGCGGUAAUACGGAGGGUGCGAGCGUUAAUCGGAAUUACUGGGCGUAAAGGGCACGCAGGCGGUUAAUUAAGUUGGAUGUGAAAUCCCCGGGCUUAACCUGGGAAUGGCAUUCAAGACUGGUUAGCUAGAGUCUUGUAGAGGGGGUAGAAUUCCAUGUGUAGCGGUGAAAUGCGUAGAGAUGUGGAGGAAUACCGGUGCGAAGGCGGCCCCUGGACAAAGGACUGACGCUCAUGUGCGAAAGCGUGGGGAGCAAA